AAAAAAAUAUAUUUUAAAAUCUCAUGAGUACUUUUAAGUAAAUAUAUUAGGUGAAAGAGGAUCAGAUGACAAAAAAAGUUUGUAAAUUUGUGCAUUUUAAUGUGUUUAAAAGACUAAAGUCAUCCAAAGACAUAGAAAUACAUGGUUAAACAACCUACAGAGGAAUGAUUCAAAUAAAAAUCAAUGUGUUGAUGCUGAUCCUAUGUUCUUAAACAUGAAAUUAUUUUUGUAAAUCCAGUGGUUAAACGCUGCCACCUGACUAAUGACGGAUCUCUGUGUGAAUGUCCAGAAAACCUGAAGACUUUCUGAAUGUAUAUAAGCAGCCUGCUAUUUUAGAAAGGAAAAUUUAAAAGAUUAAAAAGAGGAAUUAGGAAAUUAAAUUCGGAAUAAUCUAUUGCUAUUUUGUAAAUAAUAUUUAAUCAUGUAAUCCAUAAAAAAGUAACUGUAGUCUGAUUAUGAGUUUUAUAAAAUUUUAUUUAAUCUAAUUACAAGUUCUUUAUUUACUAGAAUCUGUUUACGCAAUCCAGAUUACAUAUAGUCAGUUACUACUGAGCUCAGAACAGGGAUUAGUUUAAGUCAGGACUAUAGGUCCUAGUUUUGCUUUUAUAAAAAUGCUGCAUGUGUGCAUCUUGAGAUGAAACAAUGGCACUGACAUAUUGUAAGGAAUGUCAUUUCAAGUUAUUUUCAGUUAAGACAGCUCACACAUGCGUUUUAGUCUGGGACUAGCCUUAAACCUCGUCUGUGAAACCGGGUAUAUAAUAGACAUUAUUUACUUCACUACAACUGUUAAACCUUCAAAUGUCAAUGAUUUUUACCAUCUUUUGCAUCAUUUCUUUUUCUGAUAAUUGUCUUUCCAGUUUGUCUAGUUCCUCCAUGGUUGUGAGAGGAAAGACAUCAUCCUCGCUGUCCACCAGCAGCACUGGAGCACUGGAACGACUGUUAGCUGCAAGAGACUGGACCACUGAAGACAGAUGAUUGAUCUUCAGGUCCAGUUCGUUAAGUGCCUCCAGAAUUGUCCUCUCAACAGCUGCAACACAGUAGGUUUAUCUGGAAGAGUAUUUUAAUUAAACUAUAAAGUGUAUAAUUUUACAAAUUUAGCACUCCAAUUUAACGUACGUGUACAUUGAUUAGUGAUGCAGCUCCAUCGUCUCACACCAGAAGCACCUGCAAGCACAAAAAGCAUUUAAAUGUGAUAAAACUAACACGUCAUAAAAAUUGUGUUGCUAAAGAUAUGGCUACAUGCUUAAAACCUUAGGCUGAUGAUACACAGGGCAAAUUUUUGGGCAACGUUGCUGUCAACAGGCAAAAAAAAUACAAAUGACUUACUAUUUGUUCUUGCCUGGUAGGUACUUGAGGGUCUCUGUUCAGAGAUUGUGUUCUCUGAUGGAUUGUACAGAAAAUCUAAUGUUACCUAGUGUUAUUAAUUUGCAGUGUAUGUGUUUCCUGCGUGUUUAUGAAUGUUCUUUUACCUUGAAAGUUAGAUGGGUGUUCACCCCAAGCAUCCUCUUGCUCAUUUUCAUUGGACAAGCUCACAGGAACAGCUGGAGUUAAGAAAGGUGAAGUUGUGAUAGAUGGGUGUUCUUCCCAAGUUUCCAGCUGGCGG
This is a long non-coding RNA of Cyprinus carpio carpio, 1603 nucleotides long. The record is from Ensembl. Lineage: Eukaryota; Metazoa; Chordata; Actinopteri; Cypriniformes; Cyprinidae.